Molecule: ribosomal RNA, 513 nt
Filed under: uncultured bacterium
Lineage: Bacteria
Description: partial 16S ribosomal RNA
Rfam family: Bacterial small subunit ribosomal RNA
Source: RNAcentral
GACGAACGCUGGCGGCGUGCUUAACACAUGCAAGUCGAACGAAAAGAGGGAAAGAGCUUGCUCUUUCCGGAAUUGCGUGGCAAACGGGUGAGUAACACGUAAACAACCUGCCUUCAGGAUGGGGACAACAGACGGAAACGACUGCUAAUACCGAAUAAGUUCCAAGAGCCGCAUGGCCCAUGGAAGAAAAAGUGGCCUCUACCUGUAAGCUCUCGCCUGACGAGGGGUUUCCGUCUGAUUAGCUGGUUGGAGGGGUAACGGCCCACCAAGGCGACGAUCAGUAGAAGGUCUGAGAGGAGGAAAGGCAACACUGGAACUGAGACACGGUCCAGACUACUACGGGAGGGAGCAGUGGGGAAUCUUCCGGAAAGGGAGAAAGCGGGACGGAGCAACGACGCGUGAGUGAUGACGGCAGUAGGGUUGUAAGACUCUGUGAGCCGGGACGAAAAGGAAGAGUGCGAAGAACAAACGGCAUUGACGGUACCGGAAAAGCAAGCCACGGCUAACUACGUG